This 421-nucleotide ribosomal RNA is filed under the name uncultured bacterium. RNAcentral describes it as "partial 16S ribosomal RNA". It matches the Rfam family "Bacterial small subunit ribosomal RNA", at positions 360 to 773 of the family's 1533-position model. The record is from RNAcentral.
AAUAUUGGAAAAUGGGCGAAAGCCUGAUACAGCCAUGCCGCGUGUGUGAAGAAGGACAUCGGAUUGUAAAGCACUUUAAGUUGGGAGGAAUGGCAGUAAGUUAAUACCUUGCUGUUUUGACGAUACCGAAAGAAUAAGCACCGGCUAACUUCGUGCCAGCAGCCGCGGUAAUAGGAAGGGUGCAAGCGUUAAUCGGAAUUACUGGGCGUAAAGCGCGCGUAGGUGGUUUGUUAAGUUGGAAGUGAAAGCCCCGGGCUCAACCUGGGAACUGCUUUCAUAACUGCUGAGCUAGAGUACGGUAGAGGGUAGUGGAAUUUCCUGUGUAGCGGUGAAAUGCGUAGAUAUAGGAAGGAACACCAGUGGCGAAGGCGACUACCUGGACUGAUACUGACACUGAGGUGCGAAAGCGUGGGGAGCAAAC